Molecule: ribosomal RNA, 425 nt
Filed under: Werneria mertensiana (Mertens' smalltongue toad)
Lineage: Eukaryota; Metazoa; Chordata; Amphibia; Anura; Bufonidae
Description: partial 16S ribosomal RNA
Rfam family: Bacterial large subunit ribosomal RNA
Source: RNAcentral
GCCUGCCCAGUGACCCUGUUCAACGGCCGCGGUAUCCUAACCGUGCGAAGGUAGCGUAAUCACUUGUUCUUUAAAUGUGGACUAGUAUGAACGGCACCACGAAGGUUAUACUGUCUCCUUUUUUUAAUCAGUGAAACUAAUCCCCCCGUGAAGAAGCGGGGAUAAAGCUAUAAGACGAGAAGACCCUAUGGAGCUUUAAACAAUAUAGCAUUUGCCUCACAACAUUAAAAUUUCUGAAUCUUUAUACUUCACUAGGCAAUAUGACUAUGAGUUUUUGGUUGGGGUGACCGCGGAGCCUAAAAUAACCUCCACGUUGAAAGAAUCCUUUUAAGCUAAGAGUUACUAAUCUAAGCAUCAAUAAAUUGACAUCCAUUGACCCAAUAUACUUGAACAACGAACCAAGUUACCCUAGGGAUAACAGCGCA